Molecule: ribosomal RNA, 425 nt
Filed under: uncultured bacterium
Lineage: Bacteria
Description: bacterial SSU rRNA
Rfam family: Bacterial small subunit ribosomal RNA
Source: RNAcentral
GGGGAAUUUUGGACAAUGGGGGCAACCCUGAUCCAGCAAUGCCGCGUGAGUGAAGAAGGCCCUCGGGUUGUAAAGCUCUUUUGUCAGGGAAGAAACGGUCUACUCUAAUACAGUGGGCUAAUGACGGUACCUGAAGAAUAAGCACCGGCUAACUACGUGCCAGCAGCCGCGGUAAUACGUAGGGUGCAAGCGUUAAUCGGAAUUACUGGGCGUAAAGCGUGCGCAGGCGGUUAUAUAAGACAGAGGUGAAAUCCCCGGGCUCAACCUGGGAACUGCCUUUGUGACUGUAUGGCUAGAGUGUGUCAGAGGGGGGUAGAAUUCCACGUGUAGCAGUGAAAUGCGUAGAUAUGUGGAGGAAUACCGAUGGCGAAGGCAGCCCCCUGGGAUAACACUGACGCUCAUGCACGAAAGCGUGGGGAGCAAAC